CAGCGCCGCGGGAAUACGUAGGGUGCGAGCGUUAAUCGGAAUUACUGGGCGUAAAGCGUGCGCAGGCGGUUAUAUAAGACAGAUGUGAAAUCCCCGGGCUCAACCUAGGACCUGCAUUUGUGACUGUAUAGCUAGAGUACGGUAGAGGGGGAUGGAAUUCCGCGUGUAGCAGUGAAAUGCGUAGAUAUGCGGAGGAACACCGAUGGCGAAGGCAAUCCCCUGGACCUGUACUGACGCUCAUGCACGAAAGCGUGGGGAGCAAACAGGAUUAGAUACCCGAGUAGUCCCUGUCUCUUAUACA
Molecule: ribosomal RNA, 301 nt
Filed under: uncultured bacterium
Lineage: Bacteria
Description: partial 16S ribosomal RNA
Rfam family: Bacterial small subunit ribosomal RNA
Source: RNAcentral